UUGUCUGCCUUUAGCAGUGCAAUCGUAAUCAUCAGGUCUUUGAAUUUGAAAGUGGACGCAUGCUGAAAAAGUAAGACCGCAGAUCGAGACUCCAAUUACAGACCUUCAUGCCUAGAGAAUACGAACUAUCAAAGAUACAGGCACAGAAACACUUGGAUCAAACUGCUGAGCCACUGGAGGUGCAAAUGUUUUUGCUGAUUUCUGCAAGAGCUCCACUCCACUUUCAGAUGCCAAUGGUGAGUCCUAGGAUUAUCCCUCCAUGUAUCCCUUUUGUCCCAAUCUCCCCUUGGUCCUUGAGAAUGUACACAAAUAUAC
RNAcentral lists this long non-coding RNA (315 nucleotides) under Vulpes vulpes (red fox). RNAcentral describes it as "lncRNA (ENSVVUG00000013935.1)". The record is from RNAcentral. Lineage: Eukaryota; Metazoa; Chordata; Mammalia; Carnivora; Canidae.